This 369-nucleotide transfer-messenger RNA is filed under the name Burkholderiales. RNAcentral's name for it is "Aphodousia sp017646335 Standard tmRNA". It matches the Rfam family "transfer-messenger RNA". Rfam says of the family: Bacterial tmRNA, also known as 10Sa RNA or SsrA, is named for its dual tRNA and mRNA-like properties. Lineage: Bacteria; Pseudomonadati; Pseudomonadota; Betaproteobacteria. RNAcentral also lists the same sequence under 1 other name. The record is from RNAcentral.
GGGGACGACCUGGUUUCGACGGGGAUCACGAAGUAGCACGGUGCAUGUCAAGGUCCAGUCACCUUGUAAAUCCGCUGGAAAAUAAAUAAACGCCAAUAACAAGCGUUUCGCUCUCGCUGCUUAAUCCGGCGAGGACUACACCAGUUUGCCUCUAGGCUGGGCUAGGUAAAACUAGCAGUAGUCUUAUACUUAUACAGGCUAGAGACUUGUGGGGUUACAACACAAGAAUCGAAACUUUAGUGACUGGUCCUAUCAGAGCUAGCCAGAAGGCGUAAAGUAGGACGAGAUCUUUUAAAUGUUUUGGAUAAGCAUGUAGAACCGGUUAUGGACGAUUUUCGGACGCGGGUUCAAUUCCCGCCGUCUCCACCA